This is a long non-coding RNA of Orussus abietinus, 1487 nucleotides long. RefSeq lists it as uncharacterized. Lineage: Eukaryota; Metazoa; Arthropoda; Insecta; Hymenoptera; Orussidae. The transcript is spliced from 3 exons. The record is from RefSeq and is a predicted model, not a curated record.
GGGCGCUCCUGACCCCUGGCGCGACUUCUUCCCUGGGGACUCUUCGGUGCCGACGCUUCCCUUCACCCUGGCCAUCAUGGAUCGGAGGAUCCGGAGGAGCUCCCCCGUCGAGGACUUAAUUUAUUUAUCUCUCUUCCCGGAACGAAGUCGGAAACCUCGUUAAGCGUCCCUCGGGACUCGAAGCUCGAGGCUGAUCGGACGGCGAAUUAAUUCCUGAAGCUGGUCGAAUAUUCACGGCUGCUGUUCUUCAUUCGAGGCCCUGUGAUUUUUUUUUUUUUUUGGAAAGCUCUACCCAGGGAGACAUUUUCCGAUUUUCCAUAGAAAGAUCCAUAAUUCCGCGAAUAACUCAAUUAGGCGAAUUUAAAAAGCGACCAUUCGAUAUGCAAAAUUUUCUAUCCAAUUGUCAUUGAAGUCGCAUUGAAGAAAAAUUGUAUGGAAUCCGAAAAAUAUUUUUCUACGCGUGGAUAUAUUCACGUUAGGAAGGAAUACACUUCCCGCUGUCUAGGAAAUGUAAUUUGAUAAGAGGUCCGCUUUAUUUAAAUUUAUUCCGCUCGCGGGCGAACAAUGUGGCACAUACAAAGUGCCUAAUAGAUAUCCGCUAGUAGAUACCUUGUCAGGUAAAAUAGAGCUUAUGUACAUAUAAACAUGCUCUACGCAACAUUUUGACAUACUUAGAUAGAAUUUCGCAUAGACUCAUUAAACUGAUAAAAUCGAAGGAUAUAACAAAAUGUCAAUUAUUUAGGAAUCACCGGGCAAGAGGGUAAUAAUUAUUUCCGAAGUGUUAUCCAUCUCCUUUCGUAUUCUCGUAUACGUUUUAUCUUCGUAACUGGAAGAGUAAAAGAUUACAUUGAAGACAAAUCUUGACGUACCAAACUUUAGGAGGAUUAUUAAAAUUAAUAAAAAUUUCUGCCAGGAGUAUCCAAGAAUCUCAGAUUUUAAUGGAUGAUAAUAGGAAAUAAUUAUCACGCAAAUACGUAAUUAUUAUUUAGAGAUUAUUCUACGUCGCAAUUUAUCUACAAUGUCGCGAGGCAUCUUAUCACCGCGAGUGAAAGAGUGGAUUACAGGGUAGAGAGAGAAUAAAUUUCAGAAAUGAAUAAAAUAGAUGGCGAUAAAGAACCUUGACACCCGGGAGACAGUUUCCAUCGGGGAAGUCUCGGGAGGUAAUUACGUAAAUGAGUGAUAAUAAUUUUCGAAGUAAUAUAACAUUCCUUUCCGCCUUUGGCGUCGCAACGCCUUAUCACCUCGAGUGGAUGAGCAGAAGAUGAGACAGGAGACUGGUUCCGAUGCAUCCGCGAUAUUAGAAAAAAUUAAUAAAAAAUAAAUGGUAGUCUUCGUUAGGAGCGCCAAGAAUUCAAGAGACUCGAGAGAUAAUUACGUAAAUACGUGAUAAUGUAGAUAAUAUGUAUCCCUCUUCCGCCUAGUACAUGUACUCUUAUCAUCGCGACUGGAUGAGCAGAAUCUCCACCCAGAAAGAAAUGAUUUUUCAU